UACAGAGGUCUCAAGCGUUGUUCGGAUUCAUUGGGCGUAAAGGGUGCGUAGGCGGCGCGGUAAGUCGGGUGUGAAAUUUCGGAGCUUAACUCCGAAACUGCAUUCGAUACUGCCGUGCUUGAGGACUGGAGAGGAGACUGGAAUUUACGGUGUAGCGGUGAAAUGCGCAGAUAUCGGGAGGAACACCAAUGGCGAAGGCAGCUCGCUGGGACGGUACUGACGCUGAGACGCGAAAGCGUGGGGAGCGAACAGG
RNAcentral lists this ribosomal RNA (253 nucleotides) under uncultured bacterium. RNAcentral's name for it is "partial 16S ribosomal RNA". It matches the Rfam family "Bacterial small subunit ribosomal RNA", at positions 524 to 776 of the family's 1533-position model. The record is from RNAcentral.